Molecule: long non-coding RNA, 1108 nt
Filed under: Homo sapiens (human)
Lineage: Eukaryota; Metazoa; Chordata; Mammalia; Primates; Hominidae
Description: non-protein coding lnc-CALM1-8:2
Source: RNAcentral
CCAGGACAGGCUGGGCUCCCAAAAUCCUUCCUAAAAAGGAAUCAGGCUGUGGUGGCCCACACUAUUUUUAGAUAAUUGUGUUGAAAAAUCCCAAGGCACAUGUAGCAUCAUGCAUUUUUUUAUUCAGGAAGAAAAAAGAAAGGGACCUCCCCACUCUUCUCCCCACAGCCACCGCCUGCCCAAAACAGGUCAUGCCCCUGGAGUGGCCUCGCACCGUCCAUCCCCGGAGGGGCAGUAGCCUGGGCCCUGCAGCUGCCCAGCCCUGGGGGUUAGGGCCUUGGGGUUUCUGGCUAGAAACAGGGCUCACCUCGGUCUCCUCCUAAGCCUGGAGCUCUCAGGUGGUGCAAGGCACACGGGGAUCCCCCACAUUGCAGGUGGGGAGACUGAGGCCAGGCUGUACUCAUCUCCAUUACGAGGCCUUUUUUUUUAAAAAAAAAAAACAAACAAAAAAACAAAAAACAGCCUUAUGAAGAUGUGAUUGGCACGUAGUAAAGCGCAAGCAUUUAAAGUAUACAGUUCAAUAUGUCUUGACAUUUGUAUCUAUCCAUGAAGCCAUCGCCACUAUUAAGAGAGGGAUCAUAUCCAUCACCCUCAAAAUGUCUUUAUCAUCUUUGAAACCCCUCCCUCUGGCCCCCCCUCCACCCCCAAGUCUCCUUGCCCCAGGCGCAAUCACGGGUCUGCUUUCCCUCACUCUAGAUUAGUCCACAUUUUCUAGAGUUUUCUAUAAAUGGAAUCACACAGCACGUUCUUUUUUGACUGGCUCCUUCAACUCGUCACCACUACCUGGAGAUUCACCCAUGUUGCUGCAGGCACCAAGCCCCUCAUAUGGACAGAUCACAAUUCGCUUCUCCUUUGAUCUGUUGGUGGACAUUUGGAUUGUGAUCAGUUUUUGGCUAUUACAAAUAAAGCUGCUAUAAACAUUUGCGGAGAAGUCUUUGUAUUUGAGGGGACUGCAGGGAGGCCGGGCUGAGUCAGCGCCACUGCCGCUGCUGCGUGUCGCCACUAUUAAGAGAGGGAUCAUAUCCAUCACCCUCAAAAUGUCUUUAUCAUCUUUGAAACCCCUCCCUCUGGCCCCCCCUCCACCCCCAAGUCUCCUUGCCCCAGGCGC